RNAcentral lists this ribosomal RNA (848 nucleotides) under Glaciihabitans sp. Its description in RNAcentral is "bacterial SSU rRNA". It matches the Rfam family "Bacterial small subunit ribosomal RNA", at positions 53 to 898 of the family's 1533-position model. The record is from RNAcentral. Lineage: Bacteria; Bacillati; Actinomycetota; Actinomycetes; Micrococcales; Microbacteriaceae.
ACCAUGCAAGUCGAACGAUGAGAGGGAGCUUGCUCCCUGGAUUAGUGGCGAACGGGUGAGUAACACGUGAGUAACCUGCCCUUGACUCUGGGAUAAGCACUGGAAACGGUGUCUAAUACCGGAUACGAACUUCAGCCGCAUGGCUAGGAGUUGGAAAGAAUUUUGGUCAAGGAUGGACUCGCGGCCUAUCAGCUAGUUGGUGAGGUAAUGGCCCACCAAGGCGACGACGGGUAGCCGGCCUGAGAGGGUGACCGGCCACACUGGGACUGAGACACGGCCCAGACUCCUACGGGAGGCAGCAGUGGGGAAUAUUGCACAAUGGGCGCAAGCCUGAUGCAGCAACGCCGCGUGAGGGACGACGGCCUUCGGGUUGUAAACCUCUUUUAGUAGGGAAGAAGCAAAGUGUUUUACAUGGAGUGACGGUACCUGCAGAAAAAGCACCGGCUAACUACGUGCCAGCAGCCGCGGUAAUACGUAGGGUGCAAGCGUUAUCCGGAAUUAUUGGGCGUAAAGAGCUCGUAGGCGGUUUGUCGCGUCUGCUGUGAAAACUGGGGGCUCAACCCCCAGCCUGCAGUGGGUACGGGCAGACUAGAGUGCGGUAGGGGAGAUUGGAAUUCCUGGUGUAGCGGUGGAAUGCGCAGAUAUCAGGAGGAACACCAAUGGCGAAGGCAGAUCUCUGGGCCGUAACUGACGCUGAGGAGCGAAAGCAUGGGGAGCGAACAGGAUUAGAUACCCUGGUAGUCCAUGCCGUAAACGUUGGGAACUAGAUGUAGGGUCCAUUCCACGGAUUCUGUGUCGCAGCUAACGCAUUAAGUUCCCCGCCUGGGGAGUACGGCCGCAGGGUAACA